AGCGGGAAACGUGCUCCAAGAAGAGGCCUCUCAGGGUCGUUCGAGAAGAGGACGUAGAUAGGCCGGAGGUGUAAGCCCUGCGAGGGGUUGAGCCGACCGGUACUAAUAACCCGAAUCCUUUACCUU
Molecule: ribosomal RNA, 126 nt
Filed under: Kosmotoga arenicorallina S304
Lineage: Bacteria; Thermotogati; Thermotogota; Thermotogae; Kosmotogales; Kosmotogaceae
Description: Bacterial large subunit ribosomal RNA
Rfam family: Bacterial large subunit ribosomal RNA
Source: Rfam by way of RNAcentral